This is an RNA transcript of Eurytemora carolleeae, 2631 nucleotides long. It is a transcript of the gene named zinc finger protein 708, with no coding region annotated. NCBI's taxonomy places the organism in Eukaryota, Metazoa, Arthropoda, Copepoda, Calanoida, Temoridae. The record is from RefSeq and is a predicted model, not a curated record. The transcript has 3 exons.
AAUGUGUUAAUGUCAGUUCUAGUGUCCUCCCUAGGUAACUUCAUAACUCCAUUGUAUCCCCUCAUUCGUGACAAGAUGUGGUUUACCAGAGGACAGCAAGUUUAAUUCUGGUUUACAAUGACGCUUCCUUGUGAUGAAUGUGCAAGUGUAUUUCCUAAUAAAAUUAAACUCAAAGAACAUGUGAAGAGUAAACACGAGGGUGUCAAAUAUAAAUGUGAACAAUGUGAUCGUGUUUACUCUGAUAAAAAGAGUCGCUACAGACAUGUUAAGAGAAAGCACGGAGGGUUGAAAUAUCCGUGUGAUCAUUGUGAAAGCGUUUUCUCUGAUAAACAAAAUCGUACCAGGCAUGUGAAGAGUAUACACGAGGGAGUGAAAUUUCCCUGUAGUCAGUGUGAUCAUGUUUUGAAUGAUGUCAAAAGUCUCAAGAGACAUGUAGAAAGUAAACACGAGGGUUUAGAAUAUCCCUGCGAGGAAUGUGAUAGCGUUUUUAAUGAUAUAAAAAACCUCAACAGACAUGUAAAGAGUAAACACAUGGGUGUAAAAUAUCCUUGUAAUCAUUGUUCGUACGAAGCAACGUUUCCGUCGAACCUGAAGACGCACAUAGAAGCAAAGCACGGAGAAAAUGAAUACCCUUGUGAUGAAUGUGAAUUUACAGGAACAACAAGCUUAUACCUGAAGCGGCACAAACAAAGCCAGCACAGUUCGACCCAUAAAUGCAAAGACUCAGACUGUGAUCAUAUUGCUGAAACAUCUGGCGAUUUAAGAAAGCACUUUGAAGAAAAACAUUGUGCGUUUGAGGUAGAAUGUGAUAUUUGUAAUCACAAAUUAAAAUCUAUGGAAGCCUUACGGAAGCACAAAUCCAGUAAGCAUGAAGGAAAAAGGUUCCCGUGUGAAUAUGAUGAUUGUAACAAGAACUACACAUCAGCAUCGCAUCUAAAGGAGCACAAAGAAAGAAUUCAUCAUGGGGUUAGAUACCCAUGUGAUCAAUGUGAUUAUGUUGCAAAUAGAAAACAACAGUUAAGAGAUCACGAGAAGCAUAAACAUGGACCUCAACAUUAUCCAUGUGCCUAUUGUGACUUUAAUGCUAAGAAACGCUCUGAUCUAGAAGAGCAUAUCUUCCUUAGGCAUGAGGAUAAGGUGAAUUCAUGUGAUGAUUGUGACUUCAAAACAGAUGAUGAAAGAAAGUUGAAGGAACAUAUUAGAGUUGAACAUGAUGAAGAAAGGUAUCCUUGUGACCAGUGUGAUCACAAAGCAAAACGGAAACAGCAUCUACAACGACACAAGGAUUCUAAACAUGGAGAAGGAGAGAGACAUCCCUGUUCUCAUUGUGAUUAUUCGUCUGCUCGUAGUUCAGAUUUGAAAAAGCACAUUCAGAAUAUUCAUGUUGGCGAUGAGCAUUGUUGCGACAAGUGUGAAUACUCAUUCAACAAAGUUGAAUUGUUGAAUCGACACAUUAAGAGUAAGCAUGAAGGAGUGAAUUUCCCGUGUAAUGAUUGUAGCUAUAGCACAACAAUAGAAUAUAGCCUAGUGCGACACAAGAGGUUAAAACAUCAAGAUAACCCUAGCGUGGCAAAGAAGAGAAAGCUAGAUGACAAGUAAUUCGUGACACGACAUUUCGACUGAAAAAAACUAGAAGAUAUUACAAUUGGAAAUAGGUUCAGCUAACUUUAUGGACAAUUUUUGAACCUGAACCUGAACCCGAUCUUGCAAAGCAAGAACCUGAAUCUGAUCUUGUAAAGCAAGUACCUGGAGCCAGAUCUUGUAAAGCAAGUACCUGAAUCUGAUCUUGUAAAGCAAGAACCUGAAUCUGAUGUUGUGAAACAAAAACCUGAAGAUGAGUAUGGUAAUGAUCGUUAAACUGUUAAUUCCUCUUGUAUGAUCGAAAGUGCAAAAGAGAAGUUGUUUAUCUAUCGUUAUAUAAGGGAACUUCUUCUGGAGUGGGUACAAAAUGUCGAACAACAAAAUAUAAAAUCCUCAAAAAUGUCGGAAAAUACAAAGCGGUGCAAACUUAAAAAUGUCAAAUCAUUAAAAUACUUAUGUCUCAAAUUGUUUUUAAAAAUCGCACAUUUUUCAUAAUUUACAGAGACAAAACAUGAUUCAAAAAAAUAUGUGAUUUUACAUUCUUGAUUAAUGUAUUUAUAAAAUUCAUUAACUUCCCCGCCAUGCUCCAAAUAAUUGAAUUGAAAGGGUCCGAAAUUGCGUGGUUUUUUUUAAGAAGAAAAAAACUUUUUUUGUGGAGCUCAACUUCGCUGAAUUUUUACAUUUCACAGUUAAGACGAUUCGACAUAGUGCAGUUUUACGAUGUUUAUUCCUUCAUUUUGUGGCCUUCGUCAUUUUGUCAUGUGACGCGACGUUUUGUAGUUUUUACGUUUUGUACUCACUCCAGUCCUCCCGCUAUUUAUUAGAUCCUACCACAGACCUAGUAGAUAACAUGUAUAAUUAAAAAAAAUAUGAUUUAUUUUAAUACUGUAAACAAUUCGAAAUAUUAUUCUGAAAAUAAGUUUUUUAUUUAAGGUUUUAAUUCGUCAACAAAUGAGGCAUUUAUUUGUUCUCCUAAUAAUUAAUUGUUUCAAACGUCACUUUUUCUAAUCAUACAAAAAUUUUAAUAUUUAAAUUCCGUCCACCAAGGAA